ACAAGAUACAUUACAAAAGGUUAGGUUAAAUCGAACAUUGGGUACAACGUCAAUUCAAAGUAAAGCCAGUUUAAUACUUGAACAGUAUAUUUGGAACACAUUUUGGCUUACUUCGUCUUAAAAUAUAAUAAUUUAACGGAAAUUGUUGUAUACAGUCAUGGCAAAUCCAAAACUGAUUGCUGUCAUACUCAUUGGUCUGUUGGUAGUAAAUACUGAAGGUAACAUGGUGUGUUAUGCGUCCUGUUUUGCGGCAGUUGGUGCAUCUGGACCAGCGGCACUUGUUGCACUCGGAUUUACUCCCGCUGGCAUAGUAGCUGGAUCAUGGGCGGCUUGGUGGAUGUCCUUUUAUGGAGGAAAGGUUGCAGCAGGAAGUUUGUUUUCCGCGUUACAAGCCGUUGGUGCAAAGGAAGCAAUGAAAUGGACAGGAAUUCCUUACGUUAAAGCUGUAUGCAACUACCUUUGCUAUGACGAAUAAUUGACAGUAUCUACAGUGUUAUUUUUAAAGUGUUUCAACUAAUCCAAAUGCCUCUAAUAAAGUCAAAUUGCAUUUUUAAAACAUUACAAACAGGUAUUUUAGGUCCGAAUUUCAUUUUAAAUGUUAAACUCUCAAAUUUAUAGUGUUUAUAUGGUUAUUAUUCAAUUUUUCUUUGACGUGUCAUAACAUUUAUUUUAAAAAACCUGAUAUAAAUGUCUUAAAUGUGUUUUUAUAUCAAUUGAUUUUGGAAAUUUCCAACAGCUGAUACAAUUUUGACCGAAGGCUCGAUAUUUAUAAGUUACAAAGCACAGUUUUAAACAUAGUAUUGUUACGUGUGUAAUUGAUUUGGCAAAUGUUUCUUAAGAUAGAUAUAACAUUUAUAAUUGGUAAGUGAUGAUUCUGUUUGAUUUACGUAGUAUGCAUUUUUCAUGUUUUUAUAAUCAAAAUUGAAUUUGACAGUUGAGUUUCGAACUAUGGCAUUUAUAGUUUAGUUUUACAUACAAAAGGAUAUUGCGCUAUUUAUACAUAUCCAUAAUUUAACAUUGUUCAUAUUGUACAAAAGGCAUCUUGUUGUUUGUCAAAAAAGUAGUUAAUUAAAUUUGCAAUUCGUUUUUAACCUUUUCAAAUGAGUAAUGACUAUGGUCUUGUCAAUAAAAAAUGGUCUUGUUCAUAUGCAUUUGGGGCCAUUACAAAAUAUUCUAUGUUAUAAUAUAUUGUUUUUUCAGAAAAAAAGGAGGAGAUGAGAUAUUUAUUUCGAGUAACAUA
This is a long non-coding RNA of Mytilus trossulus (common blue mussel), 1240 nucleotides long. RefSeq lists it as uncharacterized. The record is from RefSeq and is a predicted model, not a curated record. The transcript is spliced from 3 exons. Lineage: Eukaryota; Metazoa; Mollusca; Bivalvia; Mytilida; Mytilidae.